RNAcentral lists this ribosomal RNA (460 nucleotides) under uncultured bacterium. Its description in RNAcentral is "partial 16S ribosomal RNA". It matches the Rfam family "Bacterial small subunit ribosomal RNA", at positions 338 to 795 of the family's 1533-position model. The record is from RNAcentral.
CCUACGGGAGGCAGCAGUGAGGAAUAUUGGUCAAUGGACGUAAGUCUGAACCAGCCAAGUAGCGUGAAGGAUGACUGCCCUAUGGGUUGUAAACUUCUUUUAUAUGGGAAUAAAGUGUUCCACGUGUCGCAUUUUGUAUGUACCUUAUGAAUAAGGAUCGGCUAACUCCGUGCCAGCAGCCGCGGUAAUACGGAGGAUCCGAGCGUUAUCCGGAUUUAUUGGGUUUAAAGGGAGCGUAGGUGGAGUGUUAAGUCAGUUGUGAAAGUUUGCGGCUCAACCGUAAAAUUGCAGUUGAAACUGGCAGUCUUGAGUACAGUAGAGGUGGGCGGAAUGCGUGGUGUAGCGGUGAAAUGCUUAGAUAUCACGCAGAACUCCGAUUGCGAAGGCAGCUUACCGGACUGCGACUGACACUGAGGCUCGAAAGUGUGGGUAUCAAACAGGAUUAGAUACCCGGGUAGUC